AUCCUAGAAGGGCCACAGUGCAC
Molecule: non-coding RNA, 23 nt
Filed under: Rattus norvegicus (Norway rat)
Lineage: Eukaryota; Metazoa; Chordata; Mammalia; Rodentia; Muridae
Source: RNAcentral